GACGAACGCUGGCGGCGUGCUUAACACAUGCAAGUCGAGCGGUAAGGCCCUUUCGGGGGUACACGAGCGGCGAACGGGUGAGUAACACGUGGGUGACCUGCCCUCAGCUCUGGGAUAAGCCUGGGAAACCGGGUCUAAUACUGGAUAUGACUCCAUGACGCAUGUUGUGGGGUGGAAAGCCUUGUGCGGCUGAGGAUGGGCCCGCGGCCUAUCAGCUUGUUGGUGGGGUGAGGCCUACCAAGGCGACGACGGGUAGCCGGCCUGAGAGGGCGACCGGCCACACUGGGACUGAGACACGGCCCAGACUCCUACGGGAGGCAGCAGUGGGGAAUCUUGCGCAAUGGGCGAAAGCCUGACGCAGCGACGCCGCGUGAGGGAUGACGGCCUGGUUGUAACUCUUCUACGCUCCGACGAACGCGAGAGUGACGGUAGGAG
This 435-nucleotide ribosomal RNA is filed under the name uncultured bacterium. Its description in RNAcentral is "bacterial SSU rRNA". It matches the Rfam family "Bacterial small subunit ribosomal RNA", at positions 28 to 481 of the family's 1533-position model. The record is from RNAcentral.